RNAcentral lists this ribosomal RNA (472 nucleotides) under uncultured bacterium. Its description in RNAcentral is "partial 16S ribosomal RNA". The stretch from base 20 to 299 matches the Rfam family "Bacterial small subunit ribosomal RNA", at positions 47 to 358 of the family's 1533-position model. The record is from RNAcentral.
AGCGAACGCUGGCGGCAGGCCUAACACAUGCAAGUCGAACGAACUCUUCGGAGUUAGUGGCGGACGGGUGAGUAACACGUGGGAACGUGCCUUUAGGUUCGGAAUAACUCAGGGAAACUUGUGCUAAUACCGAAUGUGCCCUUCGGGGGAAAGAUUUAUCGCCUUUAGAGCGGCCCGCGUCUGAUUAGCUAGUUGGUGAGGUAAAGGCUCACCAAGGCGACGAUCAGUAGCUGGUCUGAGAGGAUGAUCAGCCACAUUGGGACUGAGACACGGCCCAAAGGCAGGGGGGGGGCAGGGGGGGGGCAUGUCGCGAAAGGGGAGACAGGCGGAAGCAGCCGGGGGGGGAGAAGGAGAAAGGUGUGAGUAGUGGAAAUUUCUUACGCGGGGAAGGAGAAGGUGGGGACGGGGAGAAGAAGCGCGGGCUACCUGCGUGCAAGGAGCGGGGGUGAGGGGCGGAAGAAACCGUCGAACC